AGAGUUUGAUCAUGGCUCAGGAUGAACGCUGGCGGCGUGCUUAACACAUGCAAGUCGAACGAAGCACUUUAUCACGAUUUCUUCGGAAUGGCGAUUUGGUGACUGAGUGGCGGACGGGUGAGUAACGCGUGGGUAACCUGCCUUAUACAGGGGGAUAACAGUUGGAAACGGCUGCUAAUACCGCAUAAGCGCACAGGGUCGCAUGACCUGGUGUGAAAAACUCCGGUGGUAUGAGAUGGACCCGCGUUGGAUUAGCUGGUUGGUGAGGUAACGGCCCACCAAGGCGACGAUCCAUAGCCGACCUGAGAGGGUGGCCGGCCACAUUGGGACUGAGACACGGCCCAAACUCUUACGGGAGGCAGCAGUGGGGAAUAUUGCACAAUGGGCGAAAGCCUGAUGCAGCGACGCCGCGUGAGCGAGGAAGUAUUUCGGUAUGUAAAGCUCUAUCAGCAGGGAAGAUAAUGACGGUACCUGACUAAGAAGCACCGGCUAAAUACGUGCCAGCAGCCGCGGUAAUACGUAUGGUGCAAGCGUUAUCCGGAUUUACUGGGUGUAAAGGGAGCGCAGGCGGUACGGCAAGUCUGAUGUGAAAGCCCGGGGCUCAACCCCGGUACUGCAUUGGAAACUGUCGAACUAGAGUGUCGGAGGGGUAAGUGGAAUUCCUAGUGUAGCGGUGAAAUGCGUAGAUAUUAGGAGGAACACCAGUGGCGAAGGCGGCUUACUGGACGAUAACUGACGCUGAGGCUCGAAAGCGUGGGGAGCAAACAGGAUUAGAUACCCUGGUAGUCCACGCCGUAAACGAUGAAUAUCUAGGUGUCGGGGAGCAAAGCUCUUCGGUGCCGUCGCACACGCAGUAAGUAUUCCA
Molecule: ribosomal RNA, 865 nt
Filed under: uncultured bacterium
Lineage: Bacteria
Description: bacterial SSU rRNA
Rfam family: Bacterial small subunit ribosomal RNA
Source: RNAcentral